AGCGAACGCUGGCGGCAUGCUUAACACAUGCAAGUCGCGCGGGUGGUUUCGGCCAUCAGCGGCGGACGGGUGAGUAUCGCGUAGGAAUGUAUCCCGAGGUGGGGGACAACCCUGGGAAACUGGGGCUAAUACCGCAUGGGGCCUGUGGGUCAAAGCCUUAGGGCGCCUUGGGAGCAGCCUGCGUCCGAUUAGGUAGUUGGUGGGGUAAAGGCCUACCAAGCCUGCGAUCGGUAGCUGGUCUGAGAGGACGAUCAGCCACACUGGGACUGAGACACGGCCCAGACUCCCACGGGAGGCAGCAGUGGGGAAUAUUGGACAAUGGGCGCAAGCCUGAUCCAGCAAUGCCGCGUGGGUGAAGAAGGUCUUCGGAUUGUAAAGCCCUUUCGGCGGGGACGAUGAUGACGGUACCCGCAGAAGAAGCCCCGGCUAACUUCGUG
Molecule: ribosomal RNA, 437 nt
Filed under: uncultured bacterium
Lineage: Bacteria
Description: partial 16S ribosomal RNA
Rfam family: Bacterial small subunit ribosomal RNA
Source: RNAcentral